Molecule: ribosomal RNA, 492 nt
Filed under: uncultured bacterium
Lineage: Bacteria
Description: partial 16S ribosomal RNA
Rfam family: Bacterial small subunit ribosomal RNA
Source: RNAcentral
AGUGAACGCUGGCGGUAGGCCUAACACAUGCAAGUCGAACGGCAGCACAGUAAGAGCCUGCUCUUACGGGUGGCGAGUGGCGGACGGGUGAGGAAUACAUCGGAAUCUACUUUUUCGUGGGGGAUAACGUAGGGAAACUUACGCUAAUACCGCAUACGACCUACGGGUGAAAGCAGGGGAUCUUCGGACCUUGCGCGAUUGAAUGAGCCGAUGUCGGAUUAGCUAGUUGGCGGGGUAAAGGCCCACCAAGGCGACGAUCCGUAGCUGGUCUGAGAGGAUGAUCAGCCACACUGGAACUGAGACACGGUCCAGACGCCUACGGGAGGCAGCAGUGGGGAAUAUUGGACAAUAGGCGCAAGCCUGAUCCAGCCAUACCGCGUGGGUGAAGAAGGCCUUCGGGUUGUAAAGCCCUUUUGUUGGGAAAGAAAAGCAGCAGGUUAAUACCCCGCUGUUCUGACGGUACCCAAAGAAUAAGCACCGGCUAACUUCGUG